Molecule: long non-coding RNA, 3526 nt
Filed under: Homo sapiens (human)
Lineage: Eukaryota; Metazoa; Chordata; Mammalia; Primates; Hominidae
Description: non-protein coding lnc-IFIT2-1:7
Source: RNAcentral
CCCUCCAGCAGGAAACCAGUGUAGUUAUGUUGUUUGUACUUGCCAGGAUACACUUCCAUUUCAUAUUUGCAAGUACACAUAAAGGUAUCCUUCAUCAGCAGCACAGUGCUUCCUUUCCUCUGAAUCUGCCAUCAGCUCAGGCAGAUUUCUAAGCAGCAAAUCAGCCUUUGCCAGAACACUGCAGGACACCAGUGCAGCGCCCAGCCUGCGACCAUGAGGCAUUUUAAAAUCUGUGGCGCUUCCAGACUCAUAUCAACAUUCCCUGAUGGAAGCCUUUAGCAAUCCUAACCAGGAAGUGGCCAGAGCCUGGAGCCAGAGACGAACGUCCCUCAUAGGAGGGGUUGCUGGAGGAGGAGGGGCAAAUCUAUUUCAUUCUGUCCUUGCAGGCACAUUUUCAUCAGUUAAUGAUGCAAACCAGGCUGAAACGUUCUUAACAAGCAUGUGUGUUUCUGUUUUUCAUUUGAAAGUCAGGAGCAUGAGGCUAUAUUCAUCAUAGAGGCAGGGUUUCUCUGUGUCAGAGCUCAGCAUUGGCAGCUCUAGCAAAGGACAGGCUGCAUUUAGCUGGUUCUUUUCUAAGGAGCCACAGUCAGGCACUAAACCAGCAUCUACACCUCUGAGGCCCCUAAAAGCCUCCAGUGAAGCUGGGCUUGAUCAGACCUCAAAAAGAUCUCCCUUUGCAUUUUGCUCUUAGUUCUCAGUGAUCUUUAAAAAAUAAUAAUAAUAAAAAGAUUAGAAUCAUGAAAGAUUUUUCUCAGGAUAUGAAUACUAUAGGCACACUAAAGAAACUUUGGAAAAAUGCCAGCAAGUAUAAGCGAAAAAAAAUCAUACUGCCCCUUAUAUCACCCACUGAAAUUAAAAUAUUUAAACAUUAUGCUUCUGUGUACACCUGUAUACGCUAUAUGUCAGGCCUCUGAGCCCAAGCUAAGCCAUCAUAUACCCUGUGACCUGCACGUAUAAAUCCGGAUGACCUGAAGUAACUGAAGAAUCACAAAAGAAGUGAAAAUGGCCUGUCCCUGCCUUAACUGAUGACAUUACCUUGUGAAAUUCCUUCUCCCAGCUCUUCCUGGCUCAAAAGCUCCCCCACUGAGCACCUUGUGCCCCCCACCCCUGCCAGCCAGAGAACAUCCGCCUUUGACUGUAAUUUUCCACUAUCUACCCAAAUCUUAUAAAAACAGCCCAUCCCAUCUCCCUUCACUGACUCUCUUUUUGGACUCAGCUCGCCUGCACCCAGGUGAUUAAAAAGCUUUAUUGCUCACACAAAGCCUGUUUGGUGGUCUCUUCACAUGGACGCGAGUGACAUUUGGUGCCGUGACUCGGAUCGGGGAACCUCCCUUGGGAGAUCAAUCCCCUGUCCUCCUGCUCUUUGUUCCAAGAGAAAGAUCCACCUACGACCUCUGCUCCUCAGACCAACCAGCCCAAGGAACAUCUCACCAAUUUUAAAUCGGGUAAGUGGCCUGUCUUUACUCUCUUCUCCAAUCUCUCUCACUAUCCCUCAACCUCUUUCUCCUUUCAAUCUCGGCACCACACUUCAAUCUUUCCCUUCUCUUAAUUUCAAUUCCUUUCCUUUUUUGGUAGAGAUACGGGAGAUGUGUUUUAUCUGUGGACUCAAAACUCCAGUGCUGGUCACAGAUUCGGGAAGACAGUCUUCCCUUGGUGUUUAAUCACUGCAGAGAUGCCUGCCUGAUUAUUCACCCACAUUUCAUUGGUGUCUGAUCACCGUGGGGAUGCCUGCCUUGGUCAUUCACCCACAUUCCCUUAGUGGCAAGGCAAUUGUGGGGACACCUGCUUUGGCUGCUCACCCACAUUUGCAGCCCAGGGCUGCUCACCCAACCCCUUCUCUCCAUGUCUCUACCCUCUCUUUUCUCUCCACUUUCCUGGGGGGCAAGGACCCCCUACCCCUUCUCCACUUUCCUGGGGGGCAAGCACCCCCCACUCCUUCUCUCUGUGUCUCUACCCUCUCUUUUCUCUCCACUUCCCUGGGGGACAAACACCCCACCCCUUCCCCAUGUUCCUGGGGUGCAAGAACCCCCCACCCCUUCUCUCUGUGUCUCUACCCUCUCUUUUCUCUGGACUUGCCUCCUUCACUAUAGGCAAACUUCCACCCUCCAUUCCUCCUUCUUCUCCCUUAGCCUGUGUUCUCAAGAACUUAAAACCUCUUCAACUCACACCCGACUUAAAACCCAAAUGCCUUAUUUUCUUCUGCAAUGCCACUUAACCCCAAUACAAACUCGACAGUGGUUCCAAAGAGCCAUAAAAUGGCACUUUUGAUUUCUCCAUCCUACAACACCUAGAUAAUUUUUGUCGAAAAAUGGGCAAAUGGUCUGAGGUGCCUGACGUCCAGGCAUUCUUUUACACAUCGGUCCCUCGUCCCUCCCUAAUCUCUGUUCCCAAUGCAACUCAUCCCAAAUCUUCCUUCUUUCCCUCCUGCCUGUCCCCUCAGUUCCAACCCCAAGUGUCACUAAGUCUUUCCAAUCUUCCUUUUCUACGGACCCAUCUGACCUCUCCCCUCCUCCCCAGGCUGCUCCUAGCCAGGCCGAGCCAGUUCCAAUUCUCCCUUAGCCUCCGCUCCCCCACCCUAUAAUCCUUCUAUCACCUCCCCUCCUCACACCCAGUCCAGCUUCCAGUUUCGUUCUGCGACUAGCCCUCCCGGACCUGCCCAGCAAUUUCCUCUUAAAAAGGUGGCUGGAGCUAAAGGCAUAGUCAAGGUUAAUGCUCCUUUUUCUUUAUCCAACCUCUCCCAAAUCAGUUAGCGUUUAGGCUCUUUUUCAUCAAAUAUAAAAACCCAGCCCAGUUCAUGGCUUGUUUGGCAUCAACCCUGAGAUGCUUUACAGCCCUAGACCCUGAAAGGUCAAAAGGCCGUCUUAUUCUCAAUAUACGUUUUAUUACCCAAUCUGCUCCCAACAUUAAAUAAAACUCCAAAAAUUAAAUUCCGGCCCUCAAACCCCACAAUAGGAUUUAAUUAACCUUGCCUUCAAGGUGUACAAUAAUAGAGUAGAGUCAGCCAAGUAACAAUGUAUUUCUGAGUUGCAAUUCCUUGCCUCCACUGUGAGAGAAACCCCAGCCACAUCUCCAGCACACAAGAACUUCAAAAUGCCUAAGCCGCAGCAGUCAAGCAUUCCUAGAGGACCUUCUCCAUCAGGAUCUUGCUUCAAGUGCCAGAAAUCUGGCCACUGGGCCAAGGAAUGCCCACAGCCCGGGAUUCCUCCUAAGCUGUGUCCCAUCUGUGUGGGACCCCACUGAAAAUCAGACUGUCCAGCUCACCUGGCAGCCACUCCCAGAGCCCCUGGAACUCUGGCCCAAGGCUCUCUGAUUGACUUCUUCCCAGAUCUUCUGGGCUUAGUGGCUGAAGACUGACACUGCCCGAUCACCUGAGAAGCCUCCUGGACCAUCACAGAUGCUUUAGGUAACUCUUACAGUAGAGGGCUCUAGGGGAUGGUAGAGUCACAGGAUGGAAGAACUCUGUGUCCUUGAAUCAUUGCAUGGAAGAGAACUGGAAGUUGCCCAGGAACACCAGCCUUGGACAGUU